RNAcentral lists this ribosomal RNA (407 nucleotides) under uncultured Gammaproteobacteria bacterium. Its description in RNAcentral is "bacterial SSU rRNA". It matches the Rfam family "Bacterial small subunit ribosomal RNA", at positions 9 to 420 of the family's 1533-position model. Lineage: Bacteria; Pseudomonadati; Pseudomonadota; Gammaproteobacteria. The record is from RNAcentral.
GAGUUUGAUCGUGGCUCAGAGUGAACGCUGGCGGCAGGCCUAACACAUGCAAGUCGAGCGGCAGCGCGGGGGCAACCCUGGCGGCGAGCGGCGGACGGGUGAGGAAUGCAUCGGAAUCUACCUCGUUGUGGGGGAUAACCUCGGGAAACCGGGACUAAUACCGCAUACGACCUACGGGUGAAAGUGGGGGACCGCAAGGCCUCACGCGAUGAGAUGAGCCGAUGCCGGAUUAGCUAGUUGGCGGGUAAAGCCCACCAAGGCGACGAUCCGUAGCUGGUCUGAGAGGAUGAUCAGCCACACUGGAACUGAGACACGGUCCAGACUCCUACGGGAGGCAGCAGUGGGGAAUAUUGGACAAUGGGCGCAAGCCUGAUCCAGCCAUGCCGCGUGUGUGAAGAAGGCCUCGG